RNAcentral lists this ribosomal RNA (529 nucleotides) under uncultured bacterium. RNAcentral's name for it is "bacterial SSU rRNA". It matches the Rfam family "Bacterial small subunit ribosomal RNA", at positions 355 to 899 of the family's 1533-position model. The record is from RNAcentral.
UGGGGAAUCUUGGACAAUGGGGGCAACCCUGAUCCAGCCAUGCCGCGUGAGUGAUGAAGGCCUUAGGGUCGUAAAGCUCUUUCGCCUGUGAAGAUAAUGACGGUAGCAGGUAAAGAAACCCCGGCUAACUCCGUGCCAGCAGCCGCGGUAAUACGGAGGGGGUUAGCGUUGUUCGGAAUUACUGGGCGUAAAGCGCACGUAGGCGGACCAGAAAGUUGGGGGUGAAAUCCCGGGGGCUCAACCCCGGAACUGCCUCCAAAACUAUUGGUCUAGAGUUCGAGAGAGGUGAGUGGAAUUCCAAGUGUAGAGGUGAAAAUUCGUAGAUAUUUGGAGGAACACCAGUGGCGAAGGCGGCUCACUGGCUCGAUACUGACGCUGAGGUGCGAAAGUGUGGGGAGCAAACAGGAUUAGAUACCCUGGUAGUCCACACCGUAAAACGAUGAAUGCCAGUCGUCGGGUAGCAUGCUAUUCGGUGACACACCUAACGGAUUAAGCAUUCCGCCUGGGGAGUACGGUCGCAAGAUUAAAA